GCUACGGGGUGCAGCAGUGAGGAAUAUUGGUCAAUGGGCGCGAGCCUGAACCAGCCAAGUCGCGUGAGGGAUGAAGGUUCUAUGGAUCGUAAACCUCUUUUAUAAGGGAAUAAAGUGUGGGACGUGUCCUAUUUUGUAUGUACCUUAUGAAUAAGGAUCGGCUAACUCCGUGCCAGCAGCCGCGGUAAUACGGAGGAUCCGAGCGUUAUCCGGAUUUAGUGGGUUUAAACGGUGCGUAGCCGGCCUUUUAAGGCAGCGUUGAAAGUCUGUGGCUUAACCCUAGAAUUGCCGUUGAAACUGGGGUGCUUGCGUAUGUUUGAGGCAGGCGGAAUGCGUGGUGUAGCGGUGAAAUGCU
RNAcentral lists this ribosomal RNA (355 nucleotides) under uncultured bacterium. RNAcentral describes it as "partial 16S ribosomal RNA". It matches the Rfam family "Bacterial small subunit ribosomal RNA", at positions 338 to 690 of the family's 1533-position model. The record is from RNAcentral.